Molecule: ribosomal RNA, 328 nt
Filed under: uncultured eukaryote
Lineage: Eukaryota
Description: partial 18S ribosomal RNA
Rfam family: Eukaryotic small subunit ribosomal RNA
Source: RNAcentral
CCCUUAGAUGUUCUGGGCUGCACGCGCGCUACACUGAUGCACUCAACGAGUUUACGACCUUGCCCGAUAGGGUUGGGUAAUCUUUUUAAAAUGCAUCGUGAUGGGGAUAGAUUAUUGCAAUUAUUAAUCUUCAACGAGGAAUUCCUAGUAAGCGCGAGUCAUCAGCUCGUGCUGAUUACGUCCCUGCCCUUUGUACACACCGCCCGUCGCUCCUACCGAUUGAGUGGUCCGGUGAGGCUUUGGGAUCUGAGCGGAAAGAGCGUUUCGCUGUUUCUGCUCGGAAAACUCAGUCGAACCUUAUCAUUUAGAGGAAGGAGAAGUCGUGACA